GCCAUGGAGAGGUGCAGCUUGCUGGCUUGCU
Molecule: non-coding RNA, 31 nt
Filed under: Mus musculus (house mouse)
Lineage: Eukaryota; Metazoa; Chordata; Mammalia; Rodentia; Muridae
Source: RNAcentral